Molecule: unclassified non-coding RNA, 1136 nt
Filed under: Hevea brasiliensis (rubber tree)
Lineage: Eukaryota; Viridiplantae; Streptophyta; Magnoliopsida; Malpighiales; Euphorbiaceae
Source: RNAcentral
GAAAAGUAAAUAUCAAACCAUGGGAGAAUAUGGUAUGAGCAUUACCGCCGUCGUUGUCAGCUUCCUCAUCAUCCUCCAUCUGCCAACUCAUUGUAAUGCAAUUGUCAGUAGAACAAACAAUUCCAUUCCCCAAACAGAUGUUGAUCUUGUAGAAUUCGCACUGAAUUUAGAGUACCUAGAAGCCGAAUUCUUCUUAUAUGGUUCUCUGGGAUAUGGUUUGGAUAAAGUUGCACCAAAUCUAACCAUGGGAGGGCCACCCCCCAUUGGUGCUAAAAUGGCUAAGUUGGGUCCUUUCAUCAAGGACAUCAUAUUGCAAUUUGGCUACGAGGAAGUUGGUCAUUUGAGGGCAAUUAAAGAUAGAGUCAAAGGAUUUCCAAGGCCAUUGCUGGACUUGAGUUCAGCGUCAUUUGCCAAAGUGAUGGAUAAAGCAUUUGGUCAUCAGUUGAAACCACCUUUUGACCCUUAUGCUAAUGGCUUGAAUUUCCUUCUCGCAUCCUACCUGAUUCCUUAUGUUGGACUCACUGGGUAUGUUGGAGCAAAUCCAAGACUCGAAUCUGCUGUCGCCAAGAAGCUUGUUGCAGGACUUCUGGGUGUUGAAUCGGGUCAAGAUGCAGUAAUCAGAACGCUACUUUAUCAACGUGCAGCAGAAAAGGUUGGACCAUAUGGAGUGACAGUGGCACAGUUCACGCAGCGCAUUUCAAAUCUGCGGAAUAAGUUAGGACGUGCAGGUAUAAAAGAUGAAGGCAUUGUGGUACCCAGAAACGAGGGUGCUGAGGGUAAGACUACAGGGAACGUGCUUGCUGGAGAUCAGAACUCACUCUCAUAUCCAAGAACGCCCGAGGAGAUUCUACGGAUUGUGUAUGGUGGGGGUAAUGAGAAUGUUCCUGGGGGUUUCUAUCCAAAGGGAGCCGAUGGCCACAUUGCUAAAUCCUUGGCACGUGGCAAAUAAUGCUGUUCUACAUGUUUUCUACUUCUAGAUCAUCAAUAAAGAGGAUUUCACUUGCUUUAUCAUGGAGUCAUCUUUCUCCUCCUAGCUCGUCUACCGUUCUAUCACAAUGAAGGUGUUUUUUGUAACUAUUCCACAGAUAGGCCUCUCUAUUGUAUUCUAUUUCAUCAAUCAAGAAAUGGUGUCUCUU